RNAcentral lists this ribosomal RNA (199 nucleotides) under uncultured bacterium. Its description in RNAcentral is "partial 16S ribosomal RNA". It matches the Rfam family "Bacterial small subunit ribosomal RNA", at positions 328 to 539 of the family's 1533-position model. The record is from RNAcentral.
ACGCUCGACACCUACGGGAGGCAGCAGGUGGGGAAUAUUGCACAAUGGGGGAAACCCUGAUGCAGCGACGCCGCGUGAGCGAAGAAGUAUUUCGGUAUGUAAAGCUCUAUCAGCAGGGAAGAUAAUGACGGUACCUGACUAAGAAGCUCCGGCUAAAUACGUGCAAGCAGCCGCGGUAAUCUGAGCGGGCUGGCAAGGC